UAUCUCUGUAGAGUCUGCAUAUCAAUAAGCGGAGGAAAAGAAACUAACUAGGAUUCCCUCAGUAACGGCGAGUGAAGCGGGAAGAGCUCAAAUUUGAAAUCUUCAAGGUUCUACCUUGACGAAUUGUAGUUUAAAGAAGUGUUUUCUGUUGGUAGUUUUGGUAAAAGUUCUUUGGAAUAGGACAUCAUAGAGGGUGAGAAUCCGUAUUUGACCAUUACUUCCAGCUUUGUGAUACACUUUCAAAGAGUCGGAUUGUUUGGGAAUGCAGUCCAAAAUGGGUGGUAAAUUUCAUCUAAAGCUAAAUAUUGGCGAGAGACCGAUAGCGAACAAGUACCGUGAGGGAAAGAUGAAAAGAACUUUGAAAAGAGAGUUAAACAGUACGUGAAAUUGUCAAAAGGGAAGCGUUUGACACCAGUGUUGUUUUCUCGAAAAUCAAUUAAAAAAGGCAGGAUUUUGUGUUGUAUUGACUUUAUCAGCUUUCUGCACUCUUUCUUGUCUUUUUAAUGCACUUUUCGUUUAACAAGUCAACAUCAAUUUCUUUUGUUGUAAAAGGGUCAUUGGAAGGUGGCUUUCUUUUCGGAGAAAGUGUUUAUAGCCUUUGGCCUCUGCAAUCGGAGAGAUUGAGGUCUGCAGCGUAGAUCCUUCGGGGUUAGAUACAUUUGUGCUAAGUUAUAGUCUUUCAUAGACAACUUGUUGACUAUGAUCAGUCAUGUAGCUUACUCGCUUAUGCUAUUUUACCUACGCUUAGGAUGUUGACGAUCAGCUGAGCGCG
RNAcentral lists this ribosomal RNA (772 nucleotides) under uncultured Neocallimastigales. RNAcentral's name for it is "partial large subunit ribosomal RNA". It matches the Rfam family "Eukaryotic large subunit ribosomal RNA", at positions 24 to 627 of the family's 3401-position model. Lineage: Eukaryota; Fungi; Neocallimastigomycota; Neocallimastigomycetes; Neocallimastigales. The record is from RNAcentral.